GUAAGGGAAGUCGGCAAAUUAGAUCCGUAACUUCGGGAUAAGGAUUGGCUCUGAAGAUUGAGAUGGUCGGGCUUGAUUGGGAAACAAUAUAAUGGUUAUAUGCUCGUUCUGGGUAAAUAGAAAUUUUCGGAUUUUGUUCCCCGGAUAGUAGUUAUGUAACCAAUUGUGGAACUUUCUUGCUAAUAAUUUUUAAAUGCACUUGUGUAUUUAUUAAUUUAUAACGGCCAUCAAUUAACAAUCAAUUCAGAACUGGCACGGACUUGGGGAAUCCGACUGUCUAAUUAAAACAAAGCAUUGUGAUGGUCCUAACGGAUGUUGACACAAUGUGAUUUCUGCCCAGUGCUCUGAAUGUCAAAGUGAAGAAAUUCAAGUAAGCGCGGGUAAACGGCGGGAGUAACUAU
Molecule: non-coding RNA, 401 nt
Filed under: Megaselia scalaris
Lineage: Eukaryota; Metazoa; Arthropoda; Insecta; Diptera; Phoridae
Description: Eukaryotic large subunit ribosomal RNA
Rfam family: Eukaryotic large subunit ribosomal RNA
Source: Rfam by way of RNAcentral